Molecule: transfer RNA, 68 nt
Filed under: Marmota monax (woodchuck)
Lineage: Eukaryota; Metazoa; Chordata; Mammalia; Rodentia; Sciuridae
Description: tRNA.Ala
Source: RNAcentral
GGAAUGUGGCUCAAGCGGUAGCGUGCUCGCCUGGCAUGUGUGCGGCCGGGGUUUGAUCCUCAGCACCA